GUCCACGCCCUAAACUAUGUCAACUAGUUGUUGGGGGAGUUAAAUCCCUUAGUAACGAAGCUAACGCGUGAAGUUGACCGCCUGGGGAGUACGGUCGCAAGAUUAAAACUCAAAGGAAUUGACGGGGGCCCGCACAAGCGGUGGAUGAUGUGGUUUAAUUCGAUGCAACGCGAAAAACCUUACCUACCCUUGACAUGUACGGAAGCCCGCAGAGAUGUGGGUGUGCCCGAAAGGGAACCGUAACACAGGUGCUGCAUGGCUGUCGU
RNAcentral lists this ribosomal RNA (266 nucleotides) under uncultured bacterium. RNAcentral's name for it is "partial 16S ribosomal RNA". It matches the Rfam family "Bacterial small subunit ribosomal RNA", at positions 793 to 1055 of the family's 1533-position model. The record is from RNAcentral.